GUGCUUGCUUUGGCAGCACAUAUAAUAAAAUUGAAACAAUACGGAGAAAAUUCGCAUGGCCCUUGUACAAGGAUAACAUACAAAUUCAUGAAGGUAUAUGAAUACUU
Small nuclear RNA from Suncus etruscus (white-toothed pygmy shrew), 107 nucleotides. The record is from RefSeq and is a predicted model, not a curated record. NCBI's taxonomy places the organism in Eukaryota, Metazoa, Chordata, Mammalia, Eulipotyphla, Soricidae.